CUACUUACCUGGCAGGGGAGUCAGUGGUCACGGAGGCCAAUCUCCCUGGAUGAGGCUAUCCUAUUGCACUACGGGCAUGCUGAUGCCUGCGAUGUUCCACAAUGUGGGAAACUCGACUGCAAAAAUUGUGGUAGUGGGUGUCUGCAAUCAUGCUAAG
Leucoraja erinaceus (little skate) is the source of this 157-nucleotide small nuclear RNA. RefSeq annotates it as U1 spliceosomal RNA. The transcript has a single exon. The record is from RefSeq and is a predicted model, not a curated record. NCBI's taxonomy places the organism in Eukaryota, Metazoa, Chordata, Chondrichthyes, Rajiformes, Rajidae.